RNAcentral lists this ribosomal RNA (1447 nucleotides) under uncultured bacterium DA007. RNAcentral's name for it is "bacterial SSU rRNA". It matches the Rfam family "Bacterial small subunit ribosomal RNA". Lineage: Bacteria; Pseudomonadati; Pseudomonadota; Alphaproteobacteria; Acetobacterales; Acetobacteraceae. The record is from RNAcentral.
AGAGUUUGAUUCUGGCUCAGAGCGAACGCUGGCGGCAUGCUUUACACAUGCAAGUCGCACGGCCGGCAACGGCAGUGGCGGACGGGUGAGUAACGCGUAGGAUUCUGUCUCCGGGUGGGGGAUAACGGUUGGAAACGACUGCUAAUACCGCAUGAUACCUGAGGGUCAAAGGCGCAAGUCGCCUGGAGAGGAGCCUGCGUACGAUUAGCUUGUUGGCGGGGUAAAGGCCCACCAAGGCGACGAUCGUUAGCUGGUCUGAGAGGAUGAUCAGCCACACUGGGACUGAGACACGGCCCAGACUCCUACGGGAGGCAGCAGUGGGGAAUAUUGGACAAUGGGCGCAAGCCUGAUCCAGCAAUGCCGCGUGAGUGAAGAAGGUCUUCGGAUUGUAAAGCUCUUUCGGACGGGGACGAUGAUGACGGUACCCGUAGAAGAAGCCCCGCGUAACUUCGUGCCAGCAGCCGCCGUAAUACGAAGGGGGCUAGCGUUGCUCGGAAUGACUGGGCGUAAAGGGCGCGUAGGCGGUGAACACAGUCAGGCGUGAAAUUCCCGGGCUCAACCUGGGGGCUGCGCUUGAUACAUGUUCGCUUGAGUUCGGAAGAGGGUCGUGGAAUUCCCAGUGUAGAGGUGAAAUUCGUAGAUAUUGGGAAGAACACCGGUGGCGAAGGCGGCGACCCGGUCCGAUACUGACGCUGAGGCGCGAAAGCUGGGGAGCAAACAGGAUUAGAUACCCUGGUAGUCACGCCGUAAACGAUGUGUGCUGGAUGUUGGGCAGUCUGACUGUUCAGUGUCGUAGCUAACGCGAUAAGCACACCGCCUGGGGAGUACCGCCGCAAGGUUGAAACUAAAGGAAUUACGGGGGCCCGGACAAAGCGGUGGAGCAUGUGGUUUAUUGAAGACAAGGGGCAGAACCUUACGAGGAUUGAACUUGGACAGGCUGUGUGCAGAGAUAAACUUUCCCGCGAGGCCUUGUUGCACAGGUGCUGCAUGGCUGUUUUCAGUUCGUUUCGUGAGAUGUUGGGUUAAGUCCCGCAACGGGCGACACCUUCGCUUUCAGUUGCCAUCAGGUUUGGCUGGGCACUCUGAAGGAACUGCCGGUGACAAGCCGGAGGAAGGUGGGGAUGACGUCAAAUCAUCAUGCCCCUUAUGACCUGGGCUACACACGUGCUACAAUGGCGGUGACAGUGGGAAGCCAGGUCGCGAGGCCGAGCCGAUCUCAAAAAGCCGUCUCAGUUCGGAUUGCACUCUGCAACUCGGGUGCAUGAAGGUGGAAUCGCUAGUAAUCGCGGAUCAGCAUGCCGCGGUGAAUACGUUCCCGGGCCUUGUACACACCGCCCGUCACACCAUGGGAGUUGGUUUGACCUUAAGCUGGUGCGCCAACCCGUAAGGGGGGCAGCCAACCACGGUCGGGUCAGCGACUGGGGUGAAGUCGUAACAAGGUAACCGU